This 234-nucleotide ribosomal RNA is filed under the name uncultured bacterium. Its description in RNAcentral is "partial 16S ribosomal RNA". It matches the Rfam family "Bacterial small subunit ribosomal RNA", at positions 94 to 334 of the family's 1533-position model. The record is from RNAcentral.
AGUGGCGAACGGGUGAGUAAUGCGUAAGUAUUUACCCUUUAGUGGAGAAUACCCUCGAGAAAUCGAGGCUAAUACUGCAUACGUCCCUUCGGGGAGAAAGGUGGCCUCUUGCUACCGCUAAAGGAUGAGCUUGCGUACUAUUAGCUUGUUGGUGAGGUAAAGGCUCACCAAGGCUAUGAUGGUUAGCCGGCCUGAGAGGGUGACCGGCCACAUUGGGACUGAGAUACGGCCCAG